RNAcentral lists this ribosomal RNA (468 nucleotides) under uncultured bacterium. RNAcentral's name for it is "partial 16S ribosomal RNA". It matches the Rfam family "Bacterial small subunit ribosomal RNA", at positions 28 to 507 of the family's 1533-position model. The record is from RNAcentral.
GACGAACGCUGGCGGCGUGCUUAACACAUGCAAGUCGAACGGAAAGACCAUGCUCUUGUUGGGUGCUCGAGUGGCGAACGGGUGAGUAACACGUGAGUAACCUGCCCUUGACUGUGGGAUAACAUCAGGGAACUGGGGCUCAUACCGGAUAGGAGAUCCUGCAGCAUGGUGGGGGUUGGAAAGAUUCGGCGGUUGGGGAUGGACUCGCGGCUUAUCAGCUGGUUGGUGGGGUAGUGGCUUACCACGGCUUUGACGGGUAGCCGGCCUGAGAGGGUGACCGGCGACAUUGGGACUGAGGUACGGCGCAGACUCCUACGGGAGGCAGCAGUCGAGAGUAUUGCACAAUGGGCGGAAGCCUGAGACAGCAACGCCGCGUGCGUGAUGCUGGCUUUCGGGGUGUAAACCGCUUUCUCCUGUGACGAAGCGUGAGUGACGGUAACGGGUAAAGAAGCAACGGCUAACUACGUG